Molecule: long non-coding RNA, 1812 nt
Organism: Aegilops tauschii subsp. strangulata
Lineage: Eukaryota; Viridiplantae; Streptophyta; Magnoliopsida; Poales; Poaceae
Source: RefSeq, a predicted model, not a curated record
CCGGCCCACCGCGGGGCACGGGCAAUCAAUGUGACCCUGUCGCGACAGCGCCCUGCAAUGCGGCGACGGCGAAUGAUCGGCGGCAGGUGGCGCUAGUGGCCGCCGCCGCCGGUUACGCUGCGCCGUGCAAGUCCGCGUCGCGGGGUAGAAGCUCGUCAACUUGGACACAGACUCCGUCUACUCUAUCUAUCCAUCUGCCUAUCCCCGCGCGCCAUUCCUGCUCCGAUUAUAUCCGUCCCAUCAUCGCGUGCUCCCCAACUUGUGCCGUCGAUGGAUACGUCGUCAUGGCGCCGGCAGAAGUGCAGCACCGCCGUCAGGUCAUAUGGAUCGCCAGCUAGUCUGCAAGUACACAUCGCUCAGUAAACGGUGCUGGACGAUCUGCCGUAUGGCUCCAAAUUCUUCAAAACAAAAGUUCAUGUGUUGAUGUGGGACGCUAGCUAGCGACCGAUUCGGCAGGUGGCAACCCCAACUAGAAUCGCUGCUGGCGACUCCACGUCCACACCGCACCUAUACUGGACUGGAAAUGCGGGGUUUUCCAGAGGGGGAUUGUAGCGGAAGCGCUCAAGAGGAGGAGGUGCGGCGUACAUAGAUGGCAACCGUCGCAUGAAUCACAGCCACAUCUGUCCAACAAGCGGGUCCCAUCGAACAGGCUCGGGAUUACAGUAUCUUUUUUGAUAGGAAAGGUAACCAUUGCAUUCUUUAUUUAAUUAAAUAUACGCACUCCUCCCGGAAUUACUUGUCACAGAAAUUAUAUGACAAGUGAUUCUGGACGGAGGGAGUAGUUACAGUGUCAAUGAGUUCGCUCAAAAUAAAGCUAGGAGCAUGAAGUGUUAAAAGUAUAACUGUGCCUACCUAUAUCGUGGGGGAGGGGCAGACCCAAUCCAAGUCAUGGUUCUGCACUCUAGUCUACAAUAUUUGCUAAGCAAUUAUUAACAUUAUUCUGAGUACGCGUAACAUGAGUAAUACAAGUUUUACGAAGAGACAAAGAUGCUUAAUUUCCUUCAUGAUAGAGGAGUACAUUGUUUCUAUGCCUGGACCGUUUGCACUGCAAUGAGAGGAUCCGACUCUACUGUGAUGGGAGAGUUUACUCCAAGCUUGAACUCUACUAAUUAGGAUUUUUCAUAACUUAAAUUCUAAGUGUAAGAAUAUAUUGUCCGUCUUUCUCCAUCAGUUCGGAUUUUUGAGUUGACUGGAGCAUGUAUUCAAUAUGGUAUCAGAGCCAAGAGGUCUUGAGUUCAAGACUUUGCCAACGCAGUAUUAAAAAAAGAUUCUGCGACCUACAUAAAAUCUCACGUCUAAGGACAAAAUAAGUCUAGAUAUGAGGGGAUGUUGAAAUAUAUUGCCUGUCUCUCUCCAUUAGUUCGGACUUUUCGAUGAGUUGGCUGGAGCAUGAAUUCAAUAAUAAGAAAUGGGACCAAAAUGUAUAUUUUCCUUCAAAAUUGUACUAGCUUUAAAAAAUUAUCCUCCAUGAAAUAACGCACAUGUCUAGUGCAAUAAAUCAUGUCAUUUUCACUACGAGAGAUAAAGAAAUUGUGACAUUUUUCUGAAUUAACUGUGGGACAAAGAAAGGGUGACAUGACUCCUUUUUUUAUUUGAGUUGACAUCUUGUUUUUAAAAAUAAAAGCAUAUGUAUGGUGUCGUAAAUCAAGUCAUUUUCGUUGGGUGAGACGGAGAAAUGCCUGUGCCAAAGGGAUAUAAAUAUUCUAUUACGUUAGUUUGUGAUUUACCCACCCCAUGAGUGAAAUAAUGUAAAUAAAUAUUUAUCAAAUUUUGCCCGUGAUUUAUUUUAUAUUUUGAUGAGAAGUUUGGUAA